RNAcentral lists this transfer RNA (90 nucleotides) under Lactobacillus kefiranofaciens. RNAcentral describes it as "tRNA-Ser". It matches the Rfam family "tRNA". Rfam says of the family: Transfer RNA (tRNA) molecules are approximately 80 nucleotides in length. Their secondary structure includes four short double-helical elements and three loops (D, anti-codon, and T loops). Lineage: Bacteria; Bacillati; Bacillota; Bacilli; Lactobacillales; Lactobacillaceae. The record is from RNAcentral.
GGAGUGUUGGCAGAGUGGUAAUGCACCGGACUCGAAAUCCGGCGAGCCAAGUUUUUCCUUGGCGCGCAGGUUCAAAUCCUGUACACUCCU